CCUGAAGGAGCACCCCUGAGGAGCAGGCCUCAGGGGACAUUCCUGCCUCCGAGGGAGGAGCUGCUGCAAAUGUGGUUUGACCUGCUCUCUGCCCUCAGCCUCCAAUGAGGUGGAACAGCCCUGAGUGUAGUUCUGAGCCUGUGCAGGAGCGAUUCAAAUUCCUCAUUUCUACACAGGCUUCAGGACCUGGGUUGGACCUGGGACCCAGGAGAUGGUCCUGGCCCCAGCUCACCACCACCCACUCCUCACCAGUAAUCACUACAUGCUGUGCCCCAGAGCCCCCAAUCCAGACCUGAUUUUGGAGGAGAACCCAGCUUCUUGGCUGCCUUCAAAGCUCUGCUGUAUAGACCCACAGGCCAAGGCUCAAAUGUCUUGGCUGUCACUUGCCAGCUACACUCAGCAUCUGACACCAUGGUCAUCCCUGGAAGUAGCAUGGACUCAGCGGAGAAAACUCCUGCAUGGGUUUCAUCCCUACCUGGGAUGGAAACAAGCCCGAGAGAGUAGAGCCUGACCAUAGUGUCAGCAGGGAGAGUACCAAGUUCCCCUCUGUGACUCACCGGCUCCUAAUGUUUUGCUCAAUGCUGGUUUGGGUGUCUGUCUGUGGGGCAGUGGGCUGCACACAGAUAGCCUGAUCUCCAGUCGAGCAGAGGUCUGGAACCCCUGGGACCCGAUGGGUAGUGAUUUCCACCUACAUGGGAUGGAAGGUGUUCGAUCAUGUUUCCUGGACCCCUGGCUCCUGUUGAA
This is a long non-coding RNA of Mus caroli (Ryukyu mouse), 744 nucleotides long. RefSeq lists it as uncharacterized. The record is from RefSeq and is a predicted model, not a curated record. NCBI's taxonomy places the organism in Eukaryota, Metazoa, Chordata, Mammalia, Rodentia, Muridae.